RNAcentral lists this long non-coding RNA (212 nucleotides) under Lathyrus oleraceus (garden pea). RNAcentral's name for it is "Pisum sativum (pea) long non-coding RNA (PSAT_LNC040782)". The record is from RNAcentral. Lineage: Eukaryota; Viridiplantae; Streptophyta; Magnoliopsida; Fabales; Fabaceae.
AAAAUUGAGGAGAAUAGAUAAUAAAAAUUUUCACAUUAGGGACUUGACUUAAGAAAAAAAAAUUAUUAUUGAAAGGGAAAUAACAUACUUGAAAGGGAAAUAAACAUACUGAUAGGAAAUCUUAACAUGAAUGAAACAAAGUUUUCCCCCCUACACUUAAAUAAAACAUUGUCCCCAAUGUUUCAAAAAAAGCGAAAAAAAAAGGAAAAAAU